GACGAACGCUGGCGGCGUGCCUAAUACAUGCAAGUAGAACGCUGAAGGAGGAGCUUGCUUCUCUGGAUGAGUUGCGAACGGGUGAGUAACGCGUAGGUAACCUGCCUGGUAGCGGGGGAUAACUAUUGGAAACGAUAGCUAAUACCGCAUAAGAGUAGAUGUUGCAUGACAUUUGCUUAAAAGGUGCAAUUGCAUCACUACCAGAUGGACCUGCGUUGUAUUAGCUAGUUGGUGGGGUAACGGCUCACCAAGGCGACGAUACAUAACCGACCUGAGAGGGUGAUCGGCCACACUGGGACUGAGACACGGCCCAGACUCCUACGGGAGGCAGCAGUAGGGAAUCUUCGGCAAUGGACGGAAGUCUGACCGAGCAACGCCGCGUGAGUGAAGAAGGUUUUCGGAUCGUAAAGCUCUGUUGUAAGAGAAGAACGAGUGUGAGAGUGGAAAGUUCACACUGUGACGGUAUCUUACCAGAAAGGGACGGCUAACUACGUG
This 495-nucleotide ribosomal RNA is filed under the name uncultured bacterium. RNAcentral describes it as "partial 16S ribosomal RNA". It matches the Rfam family "Bacterial small subunit ribosomal RNA", at positions 28 to 507 of the family's 1533-position model. The record is from RNAcentral.